UACGUAGGUCCCGAGCGUUGUCCGGAUUUAUUGGGCGUAAAGCGAGCGCAGGUGGUUUAUUAAGUUUGGUGUAAAAGGCAGUGGCUCAACCAUUGUAUGCAUUGGAAACUGGUAGACUUGAGUGCAGGAGAGGAGAGUGGAAUUCCAUGUGUAGCGGUGAAAUGCGUAGAUAUAUGGAGGAACACCGGUGGCGAAAGCGGCUCUCUGGUCUGUAACUGACGCUGAGGUUCGAAAGCGUGGGUAGCAAACAGG
This 252-nucleotide ribosomal RNA is filed under the name uncultured bacterium. RNAcentral describes it as "partial 16S ribosomal RNA". It matches the Rfam family "Bacterial small subunit ribosomal RNA", at positions 524 to 776 of the family's 1533-position model. The record is from RNAcentral.